This 296-nucleotide unclassified non-coding RNA is filed under the name uncultured fungus. RNAcentral's name for it is "partial contains 5.8S ribosomal RNA and internal transcribed spacer 2". The stretch from base 1 to 133 matches the Rfam family "5.8S ribosomal RNA", at positions 22 to 154 of the family's 154-position model. Lineage: Eukaryota; Fungi. The record is from RNAcentral.
UGGUUCUGGCAUCGAUGAAGAACGCAGCGAAAUGCGAUAAGUAAUGUGAAUUGCAGAAUCCAGUGAAUCAUCGAAUCUUUGAACGCACAUUGCGCCCUCUGGCAUUCCGGAGGGCAUACCUGUUCGAGCGUCAUUACAACCCUCAAAGGCGACUCUUUGGCGUUGGGCAAUGCCCGAGAGGCAUGCCUCAAGGCCUUCGGCCACGGGCGCACAAACGUGCCUAGCCGGCCGGACGUCGUCAGCCGAUCGACGAAUCUCCAGAUGUUGACCUCGGAUCAGGUAGGGAUACCCGCUGA